GUAGUGUGUACGUGCCGAGAGAUUUCCUUAUGUGCAUCGAUUGGACCUCGUACACCAAAGCCACAAGAUCGUUAUUGACAUCAGUAUUCCCUCGCAGAAUGCUGGCAACUCAUUCAUUGACGGGAAAACCUCCCCCGGGCUUCCCAAAUAUGGCACGAAAGAAAAAAUUACCUAGCAAGUUUAUUGAUGACAUAGUUUACUGCGUUGCAGAGAAGUGUGGUGUAUCUGCAAGGCUAGUGCGUACCAUCAUCACGAUGAAGUGUACAAAUUCGAGCAAAUGCGAAAGAAAAAAAUUAAAGAAGGAUUAGUAAUUUUAAGUUACAGACGAAAAUAGCUUUUAAGUUAGGUAUUAAGAGGUUAGAUUUUAAGAAGAGUUAUUUUGACCAGCGAACAAGUUACAUUAGUAUUAAAACGACUCAGUUUUAGUGUCUCACUAUUAUUGUAAUGCAUCUUUAGCGAUUAAAAAGCAUAAAUUAGGAAAGUCGACUGCACAUCAGUCUACACAUUUUAUAGCAAAAUAACACCUAUUACAAUACAAUAGGGGUAAAAGUAUGAAAUUGCCGAUUUUUUUUCGAAAUUUC
Ostrinia nubilalis (European corn borer) is the source of this 581-nucleotide long non-coding RNA. RefSeq lists it as uncharacterized. The record is from RefSeq and is a predicted model, not a curated record. NCBI's taxonomy places the organism in Eukaryota, Metazoa, Arthropoda, Insecta, Lepidoptera, Crambidae. The transcript is spliced from 3 exons.